AGAGUUUGAUCCUGGCUCAGAACGAACGCUGGCGGCGUGGAUAAGACAUGCAAGUCGAGCGCUGAUUACGAGGUAGCAAUAUUUCGUAGUCGGAGCGGCGCAAGGGUGCGUAACACGUGGGUAAUCUGCCAUGAAGUUUGGAAUAACUUGCUGAAAGGCGAGCUAAUACCGGAUGUGAAGAUUGGGUGGCAUCAUCUGAUCUUUAAAGUUGGGGACCGUAAGGCCUGACGCUUCAUGAUGAGCCCGCGGCCUAUCAGCUAGUUGGUGAGGUAACGGCUCACCGAGGCUAAGACGGGUAGCUGGUCUGAGAGGACGACCAGCCACACUGGAACUGAGACACGGUCCAGACACCUACGGGUGGCAGCAGUCGAGAAUUUUUCACAAUGGGCGCAAGCCUGAUGGAGCGACGCCGCGUGGGGGAUGAAUGGCUUCGGCCCGUAAACCCCUGUCAUUUGCGAUCAAACCUCAUUAUUUAAAAGAUGAUGAGCUGAUAGUAGCGAAAGAGGAAGGGACGGCUAACUCUGUGCCAGCAGCCGCGGUAAU
Molecule: ribosomal RNA, 543 nt
Filed under: uncultured soil bacterium
Lineage: Bacteria
Description: bacterial SSU rRNA
Rfam family: Bacterial small subunit ribosomal RNA
Source: RNAcentral